GAUGAAGAACGCAGCGAAUUGCGAUAAGUAAUGUGAAUUGCAGAAUUCAGUGAAUCAUCGAAUCUUUGAACGCACAUUGCGCCCCUUGGUAUUCCGAGGGGCAUGCCUGUUCGAGCGUCAUUUCAACCCCUCAAGCUUCGGCUUGGUGUUGGGCCGCGCCGCUGCACCAGCAGCUGGCGGGCCUCAAAAUCAGUGGCGGUGCCGUCUCGGCUCUAAGCGUAGUAACAUCUCUCGCUCUGGAGACCUGGCGGUGGCUUGCCAGACAACCCCCAACUUUCUUUAAGGUUUGACCUCGGAUCAGGUAGGGAUACCCGCUGAACUUAAGCAUAUCAAUAAGCGGAGGA
RNAcentral lists this unclassified non-coding RNA (344 nucleotides) under soil metagenome. RNAcentral describes it as "partial contains 5.8S ribosomal RNA, internal transcribed spacer 2, and large subunit ribosomal RNA". The stretch from base 1 to 120 matches the Rfam family "5.8S ribosomal RNA", at positions 35 to 154 of the family's 154-position model. The record is from RNAcentral.